Molecule: long non-coding RNA, 578 nt
Filed under: Elaeis guineensis (African oil palm)
Lineage: Eukaryota; Viridiplantae; Streptophyta; Magnoliopsida; Arecales; Arecaceae
Description: long non-coding RNA (EGUI_LNC028200)
Source: RNAcentral
CAGCCACAUCAACACCUCCUGAGCCUUGACGCAAUAGAUUGACGUUAGAAGAAGGGCCUAAACCUUCACCUCCUACUCCACGCAUACUCCCCCUUGACUAGAGGGCUAUUGUUGUGAGAAGAGUAUGUUUAGUCCCACAUCAGUUAUGAGUCAAGGAAGAAUAUAGCUUAUAUGGAAUGAGAUAUUUUCUUUCCUAUAAGGUACUUUUUAAAGGGCAAAACUGUGAGGCUCGAAAUAGUCAAGGCCCACUAAAGCUAACAAGGGCUAACCUCUGGAGACCCCACAAGAUCCAUGGAAGCCCAAGUCGUCCUAAGCCAAAAUGGACAAUAUCUCACGUAUGUGGGAGUGGAGACGACCUAGCCAUCCGACUUUUGACCACAAUAGAUUGGUACUACAGGAAGAGUUCAACAAUCCAACUUGAGAGGGAGAGUAUGCCGUGCCACUCCUCCACCUUCCAUCGACCAUCAACUCGACGAGGCCAAGGGGGAACCUCCCAGUCAUCCACCUCACAUAGUUUGGUGGUCCCAGAGUAGCUACCCAUGAUGGCAGAAUCCCAAUGAUUUGAUGACCUGAUCCAC